This is a non-coding RNA of Coturnix japonica (Japanese quail), 2001 nucleotides long. The record is from RefSeq and is a predicted model, not a curated record. NCBI's taxonomy places the organism in Eukaryota, Metazoa, Chordata, Aves, Galliformes, Phasianidae.
GUGGAGAUUGCCUCAGCAGCUCCCAGUGAUGCAUCCAUAUCGGAGAGAACUCUGUCAUGGUAUUUUUCAUCUGGAACCUUCGAAAGUUAAUACACGUGGAACUGGACUUCUUAUUAAGGAUCUCAGCAGUACCUUAUUAUCAGAAGUGCAAACAAAUAAUCAUAAGGGGCACCAAUGUGACCUGCUAAGAAUAAUGAACAUACCAUGUCAGAAAUUCGUGGUCAUCUCUGACGAUGGCUGUGGAGCUGAUCUUCCCAAGCCUGAGUGGCAGCCAGACAAUUGCUGAGGCAAGUGCUCACCUUUCGGGACAUUGUCUCUCACAAAAAUGUCCAAAAUGUUAAAACAGGAGGCAUCAGAUGCCACAUGCAUAAGAAAAGGGUUGUCAGCUGUGGCAGGCUUCAGCUGAAGGCAGUUAACUUCUUGCCUGGAUCCUCUGCCUAGAUCUUUUGUGUAUCAAGAAAUAAUCCAUGUUUGUCCUGAAUAAUUUUGGAAGUUGUUCUGGGAAGAUCUGGGACAUGGAUGAACAUUUUCAGGGCUGUUUUGUUGAAGAUCUGCUCUGGAAUGUCCAGAGAAGCAUCCUUUUUGUCCUCACUUCAUCUCUUUGCAACACAUACCAGUUUUCCUACAAAAUCUCUCAUCCACAACGUGAAUUUAUUUUUUUGAUCAAAACUAAUCAGGUCUUGUUGAUGUGCAGCAGGAUUAGUUCAGUAGUUUUGGUUGAAUUUUAUCUACCACAGUGGAAUUUUUGAUAGCAUUGGUGCUUUUGUUCUGCAGUUAUCCAUUUGUCUAUAUACUUUUGUUAUUCUUGUCUUUAAUAAGAACUAAGUAUACUCAGUGUGCUAAUAUUGUCUGUUAUCCAUUUUCACCUUUGUUCUUAUAUGUGCAAUUGAUAGAACUUGCUGGGAGUAUUUUGAUGUCUACUUCUCUUUUUUAUUAGGCUGCUGUGUUAUACAACAUAAUUAAAUCCAGACAUGGGGGCAGUUUGGUCAUGAAUGAGUGACAGCUUUAGCCAUAUGUUACUUGGAUCAGGGACUUAAGUUUUAAUUGAAUUUUCACACAUGGCGGUGGUCCUGGAUACAAAUUAUAGGUGCUGUGGAUUAUAUGCUUAUAAGGACUGCAUUUAGGACAGAAAACAAUUGGUGAAGCAUGUUAUGGGUUCAGAAUUCACCCCAAAGAAAGAGCAGAAAUUUUUCAACCAGGAAGUUGCGACAAGGCCAGUCCUGUAAGGUGUCCUAUCUACAAUAUAGUGGGAAACACAGGUCAGGGCAGAAAGAAAAGGGACCACUGCCUACCUUCCUUGCCUGCAGCAGAGGGAAUUACAGUGGAUAAGCAGCCUUCAGGCCUAUGCUGUUUUAAAUCUGUGUUUAACAGGGUCCAGUAGUUUCUUUGAUUUCUCUCUCUCCUAUUCUGUAUGCCUGGCCUUUCAGCUGGCUGGGAAUGCUGAAGGAAACAGGCAUCAGCAAUAUACAGAUACUGGUUCUGCUGUUCCCAUGCUGGGAAGAUGAUCCCUUGACCUCUACAGGCAAACUGUAAGCCUUCUCCUUACUGGGAUCACUGGCUUAUGGACUAAGCUGUCUGCGUUGUAGCCUUGUCUUGGUUGGUAGUGUGGGAAAUGCACAGUCUAGCUAAUCGCCCUCUUUUAGGGCGCAUAUGGGAGAUGUGUAAAAUAAACUGCAGCCACCAGGUGGCCCACAGAUUCCUCUCUCUAGCUCACUUCUCUCAACAUGAACCACAUAGUUCUCAACCUCUCUCUCUGGGUGCAUUACUUUUGGUUCAGAACUUUUUAUGGGUAUGCCGCAUGAAAAAGUAUUACACAGGUGGUUCCUGGUCACUUGCUUUUGAAAGGAAGCUUACUUACAUAAAUGUCAGUUUGUGGGGAAAAAAGUAAUACUGAGACAUGAUGGUUUAGUAGAUGGUUUAAUACAAUUCAUACAUAGUUUUAUACGAUUUGUAAUAUGACAUAAUUGUUCAUUAAAAAUGAGAUUUUGGCACUGACAAUAA